This 868-nucleotide ribosomal RNA is filed under the name uncultured bacterium. RNAcentral's name for it is "bacterial SSU rRNA". It matches the Rfam family "Bacterial small subunit ribosomal RNA", at positions 10 to 851 of the family's 1533-position model. The record is from RNAcentral.
AGUUUGAUCAUGGCUCAGAAUGAACGCUGGCGGCGUGCCUAACACAUGCAAGUCGUACGAGAAAGACUGUUUUCGGAUGGUCGAGUAAAGUGGCGCACGGGUGAGUAACGCGUAGGUAACCUACCCUUGUAUUGGGGAUAACAGGACGAAAGUUCUGCUAAUACCGGAUGUGACCUGGGGCUGGAGGGUUUCAGGUUAAAGUGGGCCUCUCGAAGAAGCUCAUGUACAGGGAUGGGCCUGCGUCCUAUCAGCUUGUUGGUGGGGUAAUGGCCUACCAAGGCGACGACGGGUAGCUGGUCUGAGAGGAUGAUCAGCCACACUGGCACUGGAACACGGGCCAGACUCCUACGGGAGGCAGCAGUGAGGAAUUUUGCGCAAUGGGAGCAAUCCUGACGCAGCAACGCCGCGUGGGUGAAGAAGGCCUUCGGGUCGUAAAGCCCUGUCAGGUGGGAAGAAGGGUCCUAUCAGGAAAGGGGUGGGAUUUGACGGUACCACCAGAGGAAGCACCGGCUAACUCCGUGCCAGCAGCCGCGGUAAUACGGAGGGUGCGAGCGUUAUUCGGAAUUACUGGGCGUAAAGCGCGUGUAGGCGGGGGAGCAAGUCUGAUGUGAAAGCCCCGGGCUUAACCCGGGAAGUGCAUUGGAAACUGUUUUUCUUGAGUACUGGAGAGGAAGGGGGAAUUCCCGGUGUAGAGGUGAAAUUCGUAGAGAUCGGGAGGAAUACCAGUGGCGAAAGGCGCCCUUCUGGACGGUUACUGACGCUGAGACGCGAAAGCGUGGGGAGCAAACAGGGAUUAGAUACCCUGGUAGUCCACGCUGUAAACGAUGAGCACUAGGUGUAGCGGGUACUCAUUCCUGCUGUGCCGCAG